UUUUGGACAGGGGGGGGGCGAGCCUGAUCCAGCCGUUCCCGCGUGAGUGAAGAAGGCCUUUUGGUCGCAAAAAUCUUUCGCAAAGGGAGAAAACUUACUUUUUUUAUAAAGAGUGAGGUUGACGGUACCUUGAUAAGAAGCACCGCGCUAACUACGUGCCAGCAGCCGCGGUAAUACGUAGGGUGCGAGCGUUAAUCGGAAUUACUGGGCGUAAAGCGUGCGCAGGCGGCUUUGUAGGUCUGAUGUGAAAUUCCCGAGCUCAACUUGGGAACUGCGUUUGAAACUACAAGGCUAGAAUAUGUCAGAGGGGGGUAGAAUUCCACGUGUAGCAGUGAAAUGCGUAGAGAUGUGGAGGAAUACCAAUGGCGAAGGCAGCCCCCGAGUUGAUAUUACGUCAACACAGGUCUUUAGG
RNAcentral lists this ribosomal RNA (412 nucleotides) under uncultured bacterium. RNAcentral's name for it is "partial 16S ribosomal RNA". It matches the Rfam family "Bacterial small subunit ribosomal RNA", at positions 359 to 765 of the family's 1533-position model. The record is from RNAcentral.